CAGUCGCCGCGUAAUACGUAGGUGGCAAGCGUUGUCCGGAAUUAUUGGGCGUAAAGCGCGCGCAGGCGGAUCAGUUAGUCUGUCUUAAAAGUUCGGGGCUUAACCCCGUGAUGGGAUGGAAACUGCUGAUCUAGAGUAUCGGAGAGGAAAGUGGAAUUCCUAGUGUAGCGGUGAAAUGCGUAGAUAUUAGGAAGAACACCAGUGGCGAAGGCGACUUUCUGGACGAAAACUGACGCUGAGGCGCGAAAGCCAGGGGAGCGAACGGGAUUAGAUACCCGUGUAGUCCCUGUCUCUUAUACAC
This 301-nucleotide ribosomal RNA is filed under the name uncultured bacterium. RNAcentral's name for it is "partial 16S ribosomal RNA". It matches the Rfam family "Bacterial small subunit ribosomal RNA", at positions 509 to 810 of the family's 1533-position model. The record is from RNAcentral.